RNAcentral lists this ribosomal RNA (253 nucleotides) under uncultured bacterium. RNAcentral describes it as "partial 16S ribosomal RNA". It matches the Rfam family "Bacterial small subunit ribosomal RNA", at positions 524 to 776 of the family's 1533-position model. The record is from RNAcentral.
UACGGAGGGUGCAAGCGUUAUCCGGAUUCACUGGGUUUAAAGGGUGCGUAGGUGGGUUGGUAAGUCAGUGGUGAAAUCCCCGAGCUUAACUUGGGAACUGCCAUUGAUACUAUCAGUCUUGAAUAUUGUGGAGGUUAGCGGAAUAUGUCAUGUAGCGGUGAAAUGCUUAGAUAUGACAUAGAACACCAAUUGCGAAGGCAGCUGGCUACACAAAUAUUGACACUGAGGCACGAAAGCGUGGGGAUCAAACAGG